AACGAGAAUAAAACGUGAAGGAUAACGUUGCGUCAGCAACGGCCCGUAGGGCGAGGCAAAGCCGAGUCAUCCUGCACGACCCACCA
RNAcentral lists this small RNA (86 nucleotides) under Salmonella enterica subsp. enterica. RNAcentral describes it as "partial RtT sRNA". It matches the Rfam family "RtT RNA", at positions 49 to 130 of the family's 130-position model. From Rfam's summary of the family: This family represents a bacterial cis-regulatory element known as RtT RNA. The exact function of RtT is unknown although it is thought that it may be involved in changing the cellular response in relation to amino acid starvation. Lineage: Bacteria; Pseudomonadati; Pseudomonadota; Gammaproteobacteria; Enterobacterales; Enterobacteriaceae. The record is from RNAcentral.